ACGAACGCUGGCGGCAGGCCUAACCCAUGCAAGUCGAGCGAGGACUUCGGUUCUAGCGGCGGACGGGUGAGUAACGCGUGGGAAUGUGCCCUUCUCUACGGAAUAGCCCUGGGAAACUGGGAGUAAUACCGUAUACGCCCUAUUGGGGAAAGAUUUAUCGGAGAAGGAUCAGCCCGCGUUGGAUUAGGUAGUUGGUGGGGUAAUGGCCUACCAAGCCGACGAUCCAUAGCUGGUUUGAGAGGAUGAUCAGCCACACUGGGACUGAGACACGGCCCAGACUCCUACGGGAGGCAGCAGUGGGGAAUCUUAGACAAUGGGGGCAACCCUGAUCUAGCCAUGCCGCGUGAGUGAUGAAGGCCUUAGGGUUGUAAAGCUCUUUCAGCUGGGAAGAUAAUGACGGUACCAGCAGAAGAAGCCCCGGCUAACUCCGUG
Molecule: ribosomal RNA, 432 nt
Filed under: uncultured bacterium
Lineage: Bacteria
Description: partial 16S ribosomal RNA
Rfam family: Bacterial small subunit ribosomal RNA
Source: RNAcentral